UCAGCUCGUGUCGUGAGAUGUUGGGUUAAGUCCCGUAACGAGCGCAACCCUUGUCCUUAGUUACCAGCACCUCGGGUGGGCACUCUAAGGAGACUGCCGGUGACAAACCGGAGGAAGGUGGGGAUGACGUCAAGUCAUCAUGGCCCUUACGGCCAGGGCUACACACGUGCUACAAUGGUCGGUACAAAGGGUUGCCAAGCCGCGAGGUGGAGCUAAUCCCAUAAAACCGAUCGUAGUCCGGAUCGCAGUCUGCAACUCGACUGCGUGAAGUCGGAAUCGCUAGUAAUCGUGAAUCAGAAUGUCACGGUGAAUACGUUCCCGGGCCUUGUACACACCGCCCGUCACACCAUGGGAGUGGGUUGCUCCAGAA
RNAcentral lists this ribosomal RNA (370 nucleotides) under Pseudomonas aeruginosa. RNAcentral describes it as "bacterial SSU rRNA". It matches the Rfam family "Bacterial small subunit ribosomal RNA", at positions 1055 to 1425 of the family's 1533-position model. Lineage: Bacteria; Pseudomonadati; Pseudomonadota; Gammaproteobacteria; Pseudomonadales; Pseudomonadaceae. The record is from RNAcentral.